Molecule: ribosomal RNA, 253 nt
Filed under: uncultured bacterium
Lineage: Bacteria
Description: partial 16S ribosomal RNA
Rfam family: Bacterial small subunit ribosomal RNA
Source: RNAcentral
UACGUAGGGUGCGAGCGUUGUCCGGAAUUACUGGGCGUAAAGGGUGCGUAGGCGGUCCGUCACGUCCGCUGUGAAAACCCAGGGCUCAACCCUGGGCUUGCAGUGGAUACGGGCAGACUAGAGGUAGGUAGGGGAGAAUGGAAUUCCUGGUGUAGCGGUGAAAUGCGCAGAUAUCAGGAGGAACACCGGUGGCGAAGGCGGGUCUCUGGGCCGAUACUGACGCUGAGGAGCGAAAGCGUGGGGAGCGAACAGG